This 207-nucleotide ribosomal RNA is filed under the name uncultured bacterium. RNAcentral's name for it is "partial 16S ribosomal RNA". It matches the Rfam family "Bacterial small subunit ribosomal RNA", at positions 1294 to 1500 of the family's 1533-position model. The record is from RNAcentral.
CGGAUUGUAGUCUGCAACCCGACUACAUGAAGCUGGAAUCGCUAGUAAUCGCGGAUCAGAAUGCCGCGGUGAAUACGUUCCCGGGUCUUGUACACACCGCCCGUCACACCAUGGGAGUCGGAAAUGCCCGAAGUCUGUGACCCAACCGAAAGGAGGGGGCAGCCGAAGGCAGGUCGGAUGACUGGGGUGAAGUCGUAACAAGGUAAC